GAUGAACGCUAGCUACAGGCUUAACACAUGCAAGUCGAGGGGCAGCGCAGUGUAGCAAUACAUGGGCGGCGACCGGCGCACGGGUGCGUAACGCGUAUCCAACCUUCCCGUUACUCAGGGAUAGCCUUCCGAAAGGGAGAUUAAUACCUGAUGGUGUUGAAAUUCCGCAUGUUAUUUCAACUAAAGAUUUAUCGGUAACGGAUGGGGAUGCGUGACAUUAGAUAGUAGGCGGGGUAACGGCCCACCUAGUCUACGAUGUCUAGGGGUUCUGAGAGGAAGGUCCCCCCACACUGGAACUGAGACACGGUCCAGACUCCUACGGGAGGCAGCAGUGAGGAAUAUUGGUCAAUGGUCGGAAGACUGAACCAGCCAAGUAGCGUGAAGGAUGAAGGUUCUAUGGAUUGUAAACUUCUUUUAUACGGGAAUAACACCAUCUACGUGUAGAUGCCUGCAUGUACCGUAUGAAUAAGCAUCGGCUAACUCCGUGCCAGCAGCCG
This 497-nucleotide ribosomal RNA is filed under the name uncultured bacterium. Its description in RNAcentral is "bacterial SSU rRNA". It matches the Rfam family "Bacterial small subunit ribosomal RNA", at positions 28 to 517 of the family's 1533-position model. The record is from RNAcentral.